Halichondria panicea is the source of this 419-nucleotide long non-coding RNA. RefSeq lists it as uncharacterized. The record is from RefSeq and is a predicted model, not a curated record. Lineage: Eukaryota; Metazoa; Porifera; Demospongiae; Suberitida; Halichondriidae. The transcript has 4 exons.
AUCUUUACCAGAUGUUAACAGUACUUACUAUUCCCACUCGAAGACCCAUUGCCCAGCGCUGGUGUCUUGCAUGUAUGCUGUUUGUGCUUUGCAAUCUUGCUGCUGCAACUCCAGGUCUUGUGGUGGGGAAAUUACAACUACUGCAAAGGACGAUAGGCCCAGGGCAAUGUUGGUAGAUCUCACUAGGCGUACAAUUGUCGUUACUUCUGUGCACGACCAGUCCUGUAUGAGAUUUACACAGACUCUUAUACCAACUUGAGGAAAUGAGGUGCCAGCAACUUUCAGUAACAACUCCAGUAGAGCUCUGUAAGUUGCUGCAUAAGGAUUGUGCGUUUUCCAGAGAGUAAAGCAUUUUGUCAUGGCUACUUGAGUUCCUUCUCUAUGGUACAACACAUUCACAUCGGCUUGUUCAGCAGGAG